RNAcentral lists this ribosomal RNA (477 nucleotides) under uncultured bacterium. Its description in RNAcentral is "bacterial SSU rRNA". It matches the Rfam family "Bacterial small subunit ribosomal RNA", at positions 328 to 793 of the family's 1533-position model. The record is from RNAcentral.
UGACAGUACUCCUACGGGGAGGCAGCAGUGGGGGAAUAUUGCACAAUGGGCGCAAGCCUGAUGCAGCCAUGCCGCGUGUGUGAAGAAGGCCUUCGGGUUGUAAAGCACUUUCAGUCGUGAGGAAGGUGGUAGUGUUAAUAGCACUAUCAUUUGACGUUAGCGACAGAAGAAGCACCGGCUAACUCCGUGCCAGCAGCCGCGGUAAUACGGAGGGUGCGAGCGUUAAUCGGAAUUACUGGGCGUAAAGCGCAUGCAGGUGGUUUGUUAAGUCAGAUGUGAAAGCCCGGGGCGUCAACCUCGGAAUAGCAUUUGAAACUGGCAGACUAGAGUACUGUAGAGGGGGUAGGAAUUUCAGGUGUAGCGGUGAAAUAGCGUAGAGAUCUGAAGGAAUACCGGUGGCGAAGGCGGCCCCCUGGACAGAUACUGACACUCAGAUGCGAAAGCGUGGGGAGCAAACAGGAUUAGAUACCCUGGUAG